AACCUUACCAGCUUUUGACAUGUCCGGUUUGAUCGGCAGAGAUGCCUUUCUUCAGUUCGGCUGGCCGGAACACAGGUGCUGCAUGGCUGUCGUCAGCUCGUGUCGUGAGAUGUUGGGUUAAGUCCCGCAACGAGCGCAACCCUCGCCCCUAGUUGCCAUCAUUCAGUUGGGAACUCUAGGGGGACUGCCGGUGAUAAGCCGCGAGGAAGGUGGGGAUGACGUCAAGUCCUCAUGGCCCUCACAGGCUGGGCUACACACGUGCUACAAUGGCGGUGACAAUGGGCAGCGAAGGAGCGAUCCGGUGCUGAUCCCAAAAAGCCGUCUCAGUUCAGAUUGCACUCUGCAACUCGAGUGCAUGAAGGUGGAAUCGCUAGUAAUCGUGGAUCAGCAUGCCACGGUGAAUACGUUCCCGGGCCUUGUACACACCGCCCGUCACACCAUGGGAGUUGGGUUUACCCGAAGGCGUCGCGCUAACCGCAAGGAGGCAGGCGACCACGGUAGGCUCAGCGACUGGGGUGAAGUCGUAACAAGGUAGCCGUAAUCUAGAUGC
Molecule: ribosomal RNA, 550 nt
Filed under: uncultured Afipia sp.
Lineage: Bacteria; Pseudomonadati; Pseudomonadota; Alphaproteobacteria; Hyphomicrobiales; Nitrobacteraceae
Description: bacterial SSU rRNA
Rfam family: Bacterial small subunit ribosomal RNA
Source: RNAcentral